GAGCAACCUGCCCUGGACUCUGGGAUAAGCGCUGGAAACGGUGUCUAAUACUGGAUAUGAGCCUCUAUCGCAUGGUGGGGGUUGGAAAGAUUUUUUGGUCUGGGAUGGGCUCGCGGCCUAUCAGCUUGUUGGUGAGGUAAUGGCUCACCAAGGCGUCGACGGGUAGCCGGCCUGAGAGGGUGACCGGCCACACUGGGACUGAGACACGGCCCAGACUCCUACGGGAGGCAGCAGUGGGGAAUAUUGCACAAUGGGCGGAAGCCUGAUGCAGCAACGCCGCGUGAGGGAUGACGGCCUUCGGGUUGUAAACCUCUUUUAGCAGGGAAGAAGCGAAAGUGACGGUACCUGCAGAAAAAGCGCCGGCUAACUACGUGCCAGCAGCCGCGGUAAUACGUAGGGCGCAAGCGUUAUCCGGAAUUAUUGGGCGUAAAGAGCUCGUAGGCGGUUUGUCGCGUCUGCUGUGAAAUCCCGAGGCUCAACCUCGGGUCUGCAGUGGGUACGGGCAGACUAGAGUGCGGUAGGGGAGAUUGGAAUUCCUGGU
RNAcentral lists this ribosomal RNA (541 nucleotides) under uncultured bacterium. Its description in RNAcentral is "bacterial SSU rRNA". It matches the Rfam family "Bacterial small subunit ribosomal RNA", at positions 119 to 674 of the family's 1533-position model. The record is from RNAcentral.